AGAGUUUGAUCCUGGCUCAGAUUGAACGCUGGCGGCAUGCCUUACACAUGCAAGUCGAACGGCAGCACGGGAGCAAUCCUGGUGGCGAGUGGCGAACGGGUGAGUAAUACAUCGGAACGUGUCCUGGAGUGGGGGAUAGCCCGGCGAAAGCCGGAUUAAUACCGCAUACGCUCUGAGGAGGAAAGCGGGGGAUCUUCGGACCUCGCGCUCAAGGGGCGGCCGAUGGCAGAUUAGCUAGUUGGUGGGGUAAAGGCCUACCAAGGCGACGAUCUGUAGCUGGUCUGAGAGGACGACCAGCCACACUGGGACUGAGACACGGCCCAGACUCCUACGGGAGGCAGCAGUGGGGAAUUUUGGACAAUGGGCGCAAGCCUGAUCCAGCAAUGCCGCGUGUGUGAAGAAGGCCUUCGGGUUGUAAAGCACUUUUGUCCGGAAAGAAAACUUCUGCCCUAAUACGGCGGGAGGAUGACGGUACCGGAAGAAUAAGCACCGGCUAACUACGUGCCAGCAGCCGCGGUAAUACGUAGGGUGCAAGCGUUAAUCGGAAUUACUGGGCGUAAAGCGUGCGCAGGCGGUUCGCUAAGACAGAUGUGAAAUCCCCGGGCUUAACCUGGGAACUGCAUUUGUGACUGGCGGGCUAGAGUAUGGCAGAGGGGGGUAGAAUUCCACGUGUAGCAGUGAAAUGCGUAGAGAUGUGGAGGAAUACCGAUGGCGAAGGCAGCCCCCUGGGCCAAUACUGACGCUCAUGCACGAAAGCGUGGGGAGCAAACAGGAUUAGAUACCCUGGUAGUCCACGCCCUAAACGAUGUCAACUGGUUGUCGGGCCUUCAUUGGCUUGGUAACGUAGCUAACGCGUGAAGUUGACCGCCUGGGGAGUACGGUCGCAAGAUUAAAACUCAAAGGAAUUGACGGGGACCCGCACAAGCGGUGGAUGAUGUGGAUUAAUUCGAUGCAACGCGAAAAACCCUUACCUACCU
This 977-nucleotide ribosomal RNA is filed under the name uncultured bacterium. Its description in RNAcentral is "bacterial SSU rRNA". It matches the Rfam family "Bacterial small subunit ribosomal RNA", at positions 8 to 980 of the family's 1533-position model. The record is from RNAcentral.